RNAcentral lists this ribosomal RNA (262 nucleotides) under uncultured archaeon. RNAcentral's name for it is "partial 16S ribosomal RNA". It matches the Rfam family "Archaeal small subunit ribosomal RNA", at positions 748 to 1009 of the family's 1478-position model. The record is from RNAcentral.
UGGCCGUAAACGAUGUGGACUUGGUGUUGGGAUGGCUCCGAGCUGCCCCAGUGCCGAAGGGAAGCUGUUAAGUCCACCGCCUGGGAAGUACGGCCGCAAGGCUGAAACUUAAAGGAAUUGGCGGGGGGAGCACAACAACGGGUGGAGCCUGCGGUUUAAUUGGACUCAACGCCGGACAACUCACCGGGAACGACAGCAAUAUGUAGGCCAGGCUGAAGACCUUGCCUGAAUCGCUGAGAGGUGGUGCAUGGCGUAGACGUCU